GAUGAACGCUGGCGGCGUGCCUAAUACAUGCAAGUCGAGCGAACAGAUGAGGAGCUUGCUCCUCUGACGUUAGCGGCGGACGGGUGAGUAACACGUGGAUAACCUACCUAUAAGACUGGGAUAACUUCGGGAAACCGGAUCUAAUACCGGAUAAUAUAUUGAACCGCAUGGUUCAAUAGUGAAAGACGGUUUUGCUGUCUCUUAUAGAUGGAUCCGCGCCGCAUUAGCUAGUUGGUAAGGUAACGGCUUACCAAGGCAACGAUGCGUAGCCGACCUGAGAGGGUGAUCGGCCACACUGGAACUGAGACACGGUCCAGACUCCUACGGGAGGCAGCAGUAGGGAAUCUUCCGCAAUGGGCGAAAGCCUGACGGAGCAACGCCGCGUGAGUGAUGAAGGUCUUCGGAUCGUAAAGCUCUGUUAUUAGGGAAGAACAGAUGUGGAAGUAACUAUGCACGUCUUGACGGUACCUAAUCAGAAAGCAACGGCUAACUACGUG
This 497-nucleotide ribosomal RNA is filed under the name uncultured bacterium. Its description in RNAcentral is "partial 16S ribosomal RNA". It matches the Rfam family "Bacterial small subunit ribosomal RNA", at positions 28 to 507 of the family's 1533-position model. The record is from RNAcentral.